AAAGUGGAGGCAGGGGGAUCUCUGAGAGUGAGCUCCUGUCGUCUCAAUGCGCAAACAAUAAUCAAGUUUAAAAGCAAAAUCCUUUGCUGGUUUUAAAGGGUUAUUUAUUAUUAAGCCCGAGAGUUUUCUUUAAAAAAAAAAAUAAUCAAAAUAUAUCGUCUUCGCUUGCUCGCCCUCUUCACCUGUGACCGGGUCUUCAUUCUUUCAGCAGUGACUCCUAAAGGACAGAGUGGAGUGGAAACUUAAGGGUUCCUUGGAAAGUCAGUUGUGCUGGAUGCGUGAAAAGACCUGUGAGGAAGAAUUCUUCACUAACAACACACAUGUGUCGGUCUGCCUUACACUGUGCAGUUAGUCGAGCUCCAUUUGUUGGGACUCCAUAGAGAAAAACACAGAACCCGUGCUGAGGCAAGACACAUGCGUCACGUGGCCCUGAACAAAGGCGGUGAACUUUAUCCGGCAGUAACCUAAUCUCCUGGAUCGUUUACCAACAACACUCAGAGUGAUCUCCGGGAUUACCUUGGGCUUUGGCCAGCACCAGGGAGACUGGGCUGAACAGAAGUUUCUGGCUCUGUGUGGACCACGUUCUCUCCUAGCGUCAGAGCUUUCCUCAGAGUUCUGUGAGAGCAGUGUUAACUGUGGACAGUCCUGGACUCACAUCACCCCAGUUUGUUGCCUCAGAAGACAAAACUCUCCCAGGAUCUUGAGAUGGAUCGAGAUUGAGAGUCCUGAGUUCAGAGCUCUUAAUGGAACGGGCAAAGUUCUAAGGAGAGAAGCUAUGGAGAUGGGGAAAGGAAACUCAGGUGGAGCAGAGAUGGAGGCACAAGCCAAGGCCUCUGUGAGUCACCAGAAGCAGGGGCAGGACCAGCCUUGGUAACGCUGUGAUUUAGGACAGCCGACAAUCCCAACAUGUGUUAAUUCUAAUACAUUUCUGUCUUUUGAA
This 940-nucleotide small RNA is filed under the name Rattus norvegicus (Norway rat). RNAcentral describes it as "uncharacterized LOC102555670". The record is from RNAcentral. Lineage: Eukaryota; Metazoa; Chordata; Mammalia; Rodentia; Muridae.